This 467-nucleotide ribosomal RNA is filed under the name uncultured bacterium. RNAcentral's name for it is "partial 16S ribosomal RNA". It matches the Rfam family "Bacterial small subunit ribosomal RNA", at positions 28 to 507 of the family's 1533-position model. The record is from RNAcentral.
GACGAACGCUGGCGGCGUGCUUAACACAUGCAAGUCGAACGGAAAGGCCCUGCUUUUGUGGGGUGCUCGAGUGGCGAACGGGUGAGUAACACGUGAGUAACCUGCCCUUGACUUUGGGAUAACUUCAGGAAACUGGGGCUAAUACCGGAUAGGAGCUCCUGCUGCAUGGUGGGGGUUGGAAAGUUUCGGCGGUUGGGGAUGGACUCGCGGCUUAUCAGCUUGUUGGUGGGGUGGUGGCUUACCAAGGCUUUGACGGGUAGCCGGCCUGAGAGGGUGACCGGCCACAUUGGGACUGAGAUACGGCCCAGACUCCUACGGAGGCAGCAGUGGGGAAUAUUGCACAAUGGGCGGAAGCCUGAUGCAGCAACGCCGCGUGCGGGAUGACGGCCUUCGGGUUGUAAACCGCUUUCGCCUGUGACGAAGCGUGAGUGACGGUAAUGGGUAAAGAAGCACCGGCUAACUACGUG